GUGAAUGGUAACUUUUCAGUUACCAUUUUUUAUUCUUCAGAAUUCUAUUUUCAAGCUACCAAAACACCUAGUCUCUGUAGUCUGUAAGUUUACUAGAAAAUGUGAGAAAUGCUUUGGGUUCUCUUGAAAAGGCAAUUGCAUUUAGUGACUAUUUAAUUUUAACCAGAAUUUUUUUUAGAUUGAUGGAUUUCUUUGGAGCAGUUUCUAUCAUAAAUCUAGUUCUUUUACUGGAAUACUUUUUUCCUUGUUGAAGGGACCUGCAAAAGCAUUUUUUUUGUUUUUCCAAUCCUUUUCCGUGGUGUUUGCUUGAGCUGACAAAUUAUUCUGAUUGGAGCCAAAUCAUCUCAAAUACAAGGACUAUUUUUACCUAUUUAUCUGCUAUGUAAAUUACUUUAUCCAUUAUUGAGUUUGCUUUGGGAAAGCAAUUUUCUUGUUUCUAAAAUUUGCUUUCAUAAUGCAAUCAGAUGAAGCAUCUCCAUAUAGCUUGCAAACACCUUAUAUAUUAUAUUUAGGUUUCAAACCUAUUUUUUUCUUAUAAAUCUUCCUGAUUUCUUAGAUUCAUAUCUCUACACCAAAUGAUCAUAUUUUAUCGACUGAUAUGAUGUCCUCACUUUACUCCACCUUGCUCUUUGUCACACGCGUAACAAAUGUAAUCCUUAGGUUCUCCCUGCAUGUCAAUGGCUUUGAUACUGAAUGGUUUUGCUUUAAAGUUCCAUUAUGCUAUCUGUCUCAUUCACUCUCCCUCUCUUGUAAUGUGCUUGUGUGGUUGUUUGCUCUGAGGC
RNAcentral lists this unclassified non-coding RNA (782 nucleotides) under Hevea brasiliensis (rubber tree). Lineage: Eukaryota; Viridiplantae; Streptophyta; Magnoliopsida; Malpighiales; Euphorbiaceae. The record is from RNAcentral.